UAGAGUUUGAUCAUGGCUCAGGAUGAACGCUAGCGACAGGCUUAACACAUGCAAGUCGAGGGGCAGCGGGGAGGUAGCAAUACUUCCGCCGGCGACCGGCGCACGGGUGAGUAACACGUAUGGAACCUGCCCGUAGCAGGGGGAUAAGCGGAAGAAAUUCCGUCUAAUACCGCGUAAUAACUCCGAGAGGCAUCUCAUGGAGUUUAAAGGGUAAUACCGGCUACGGAUGGCCAUGCGGCGCAUUAGCUAGUUGGCGGGGUAACGGCCCACCAAGGCGACGAUGCGUAGGGGUUCUGAGAGGAAGGUCCCCCACACUGGUACUGAGACACGGACCAGACUCCUACGGGAGGCAGCAGUGAGGAAUAUUGGUCAAUGGGCGCGAGCCUGAACCAGCCAAGUCGCGUGAGGGAAGACGGUCCUAUGGAUUGUAAACCUCUUUUGUCGGGGAGCAAAAGGCGCCACGUGUGGCGUUCCGAGAGUACCCGAAGAAAAAGCAUCGGCUAACUCCGUGCCAGCAGCCGCGGUAAUACGGAGGAUGCGAGCGUUAUCCGGAUUUAUUGGGUUUAAAGGGUGCGCAGGCGGAAGAUCAAGUCAGCGGUAAAAUUGAGAGGCUCAACCUCUUCGAGCCGUUGAAACUGGUUUUCUUGAGUGAGCGAGAAGUAUGCGGAAUGCGUGGUGUAGCGGUGAAAUGCAUAGAUAUCACGCAGAACUCCGAUUGCGAAGGCAGCAUACCGGCGCUCAACUGACGCUCAUGCACGAAAGUGUGGGUAUCGAACAGGAUUAGAUACCCUGGUAGUCCACACAGUAAACGAUGAAUACUAAUUGUUCGGGGAGAAUGAUCCCUGAGUGAUACAGCGAAAGCGUUAAGUAUUCCACCUGGGGAGUACGCCGGCAACGGUGAAACUCAAAGGAAUUGACGGGGGCCCGCACAAGCGGAGGAACAU
This 944-nucleotide ribosomal RNA is filed under the name uncultured bacterium. RNAcentral describes it as "bacterial SSU rRNA". It matches the Rfam family "Bacterial small subunit ribosomal RNA", at positions 1 to 940 of the family's 1533-position model. The record is from RNAcentral.